Molecule: RNase P RNA, 298 nt
Filed under: uncultured Parasutterella sp.
Lineage: Bacteria; Pseudomonadati; Pseudomonadota; Betaproteobacteria; Burkholderiales; Sutterellaceae
Description: Bacterial RNase P class A
Rfam family: Bacterial RNase P class A
About the family: Ribonuclease P (RNase P) is a ubiquitous endoribonuclease, found in archaea, bacteria and eukarya as well as chloroplasts and mitochondria. Its best characterised activity is the generation of mature 5'-ends of tRNAs by cleaving the 5'-leader elements of precursor-tRNAs.
Source: RNAcentral
AGUCUGUCGGGCGAUCGCAGGGGAGAAAGACCUCGGAGGAAAGUCCGGACUCCAUAGGACGGUGUAGGAGGUAACGCCUCUCCGCCGCAAGGCGAGGAUUAGAGCUACAGAGACGAGCCGAUUUAGUUCGGGUGAAACGAGCAAUCUCUACACGGAGCAACAUCAAAUAGGCAGCUGCUGACCCUGUCCGGCGAGGCUGCGGGUAGAUGGCUCGAUCCCAAGGGUGACUUUGGGACUAGAUGAAUGACCGCCAAGGCGUUUUUCAACGCUGAACAGAAUCCGGCUUAUAGACGGACUU